RNAcentral lists this small RNA (27 nucleotides) under Arabidopsis thaliana (thale cress). RNAcentral describes it as "ATSL024430". Lineage: Eukaryota; Viridiplantae; Streptophyta; Magnoliopsida; Brassicales; Brassicaceae. The record is from RNAcentral.
UCUCUCUCUCUAUCUAUCUUAUGUCAA